RNAcentral lists this non-coding RNA (1683 nucleotides) under Clostridium botulinum D str. 1873. Its description in RNAcentral is "bacterial LSU rRNA". It matches the Rfam family "Bacterial large subunit ribosomal RNA", at positions 1229 to 2925 of the family's 2925-position model. The record is from RNAcentral. Lineage: Bacteria; Bacillati; Bacillota; Clostridia; Eubacteriales; Clostridiaceae.
UAGAGGAGCUUUCUGUACAGGUUGAAGUCAUACCGUAAGGAGUGGUGGACAGUACAGAAGUGAGAAUGCUGGCAUAAGUAGCGAAAAACAAGUGAGAAUCUUGUUGACCGAAUAUCUAAGGUUUCCUGGGGAAGGCUCGUCCUCCCAGGGUUAGUCGGGACCUAAGCCGAGGCCGAAAGGCGUAGGUGAUGGACAACUGGUUGAUAUUCCAGUACCACCAUAAUGCGUUUGACAAAUGGGAUGACGCAGGAGGAUAGGAUGUGCGCACUAUUGGAUGUGCGUCUAAGCACUUAGGGUGUUAAGUAGGCAAAUCCGCUUAACAUUAAGCCUGAGGUGUGAUGGGGAGCCUAUUUUGGCGAAGUAUCUGAUUCCACGCUGCCAAGAAAAGUCUCUAUGGAGCAAAGUGGUGCCCGUACCGCAAACCGACACAGGUAGAUGAGGAGAGAAUCCUAAGGUCGUCGGAAGAAUUAUUGCUAAGGAACUCGGCAAAUUGACCCCGUAACUUAGGGAGAAGGGGUGCCUACGAGAGUAGGCCGCAGUGAAUAGGCUCAAGCAACUGUUUAUCAAAAACACAGGUCUCUGCUAAAGCGUAAGCUGAUGUAUAGGGGCUGACGCCUGCCCGGUGCUGGAAGGUUAAGGGGAAUAGUUAGCGCAAGCGAAGCUAUGAACUUAAGCCCCAGUAAACGGCGGCCGUAACUAUAACGGUCCUAAGGUAGCGAAAUUCCUUGUCGGGUAAGUUCCGACCCGCACGAAUGGCGUAAUGAUUUGAGCACUGUCUCGGCAAUAAAUCCGGUGAAAUUGUAGUGCAAGUGAAGAUGCUUGCUACCCGCGGUUGGACGGAAAGACCCCGUAGAGCUUUACUGUAGCUUAGCAUUGAAUUUCGGUAUUGUCUGUACAGGAUAGGUGGGAGACUUAGAAGCGAGGGCGUCAGCUUUCGUGGAGUCGUCCUUGGGAUACCACCCUGACAGUACUGGAAUUCUAACUGGAGGCCAUGAAUCUGGUCACAGGACAUUGCUAGGUGGGCAGUUUGACUGGGGCGGUCGCCUCCUAAAAGGUAACGGAGGCGCCCAAAGGUUCCCUCAGCGCGGUCGGAAAUCGCGCGUAGAGUGCAAAGGCAGAAGGGAGCCUGACUGCGACACAUACAGGUGGAGCAGGGACGAAAGUCGGGCUUAGUGAUCCGGUGGUUCUGUAUGGAAGGGCCAUCGCUCAACGGAUAAAAGCUACCUCGGGGAUAACAGGCUGAUCUCCCCCAAGAGUCCACAUCGACGGGGAGGUUUGGCACCUCGAUGUCGGCUCGUCGCAUCCUGGGGCUGUAGUCGGUCCCAAGGGUUGGGCUGUUCGCCCAUUAAAGCGGCACGCGAGCUGGGUUCAGAACGUCGUGAGACAGUUCGGUCCCUAUCCGCCGUGGGCGUAGGAAAUUUGAGAGGAGCUGUCCUUAGUACGAGAGGACCGGGAUGGACCAACCUCUGGUGCACCAGUUGUUCCGCCAGGAGCACAGCUGGGUAGCUAUGUUGGGAAGGGAUAAACGCUGAAAGCAUCUAAGCGUGAAGCCCACCUCAAGAUUAGAUUUCCCAUAGCGUAAGCUAGUAAGACCCCUGAAAGACUAUCAGGUUGAUAGGUUGGAGGUGUAAGUACAGUAAUGUAUUCAGCUGACCAAUACUAAUAGGUCGAGGGCUUGAUCAA